GGGACACCUUGAACUUGGGGCGCCGGGAGUCAAUGAGACAAAACGACGUCUCUGUUCGCCGCGACUUGUCACUUCGCGGUAACAUAGGCACCGGGCGUAGGAAACUGGACAACUGGCCCCUUCUGAAUGUG
Non-coding RNA from Caenorhabditis elegans, 131 nucleotides. Lineage: Eukaryota; Metazoa; Nematoda; Chromadorea; Rhabditida; Rhabditidae. The record is from Ensembl.